GGAGUCGUGGACGCGCGCUGUAGUUCGCACGCGGCUCACAGCGGCUGCCGUUGUUCUCACUUCGCCUCGGCUCCGACAACGGUGAGGGCCUCGCCACUUCCCCCGUUCACCUCCUUACGACGUCGACCGUCGUCGACGCAGUCGUUUGUUGUCGUCGUCGUCGUCGUUGUGUUCUUCUGCGCGCUUUCGACGACUACAAGUAAGCAGAUUCAUGAACAAAAAUGCUUUUCCUGGGAUAUUCAAUUGUGGCAUUCAUGGUAUUUUCACACGGUGCGGCGAAUGAAACCCGGGCAUUAACGGUGACUGCAGGAGAUCAGGUUUUGCUGUCCUGUGGUAUUGCUGAUGGCUCCGUAAAGAGGUGACACGGAGGAGAAUCAUUGUGCACAGAACACUGGACGAUGGCAUGGAGCAAAACGACCGUAACUCCCAAUUGCAAGGCAAAGUGGAGGAUGCAACGUGGGUUUUGGAUAUUUUGGGUUGUGAACAUGAGGAUGGGAAUUGCGCGUCGUCAAUCAAUGGCGUGGCACAAACCCCUUCCGCUCUGCUGAUACCUGCAGUGCGUGCGGAGGAUAAAGCAACGUACCGCUGCCUAUUCGGCGUUCAUGCAAACAAACUUGUGCAGAAGCUCGAAUAUCAACUGACCGUGAUCGCGAGAGAAAGAGGGGAGGAAACUGACGGAAGGACAUUCGUUUCCCCCAAAAGGAUGCAUCUCAGGGUUGGCCACCUCCAGUACCCAUGGCGGUCAGAACUCAAGUACGGUUCAGGAAUCAAGCCUAUCCGAAAAAACUCAGGCCAACAAAAUAUCAGACAGGCCCUACGAGACGCUGUUUUUCAUCGCCGUCGCAACGGUGGCUGUGCUGCUGCCAGUGUCCAUGUUGUUAAUAUACAAACUGGUGAAAUUUAAAGAAGGUAAGGGCGGUAAAUAUAGCAUUGGCAUUCUGGUAAAUGUUUAGUGGUUUGUGGACUUACAUGUUGUAUAAUAUCUCUUCCAUCUACGUUUCUGCCUGUUACUGAUUACGCCUAAGUUGUUUACACAUCUGCUUCCGGCUUAGCGUUGGACAAUUUUAAUUCCAAUUUUCAUUACGCCUUACGAACUACUCAACCCAUUGUUACGAUCUCUACUCUAAGUUUAGUCUUCGGCCUAUCUCGAGACAGGAGGACAAAGCAUUGGGCCAAAUUUGUCUUCAACACAUUCGCAAAUAAAUAAGCUAAUGUUACAGCUGU
This is a long non-coding RNA of Lethenteron reissneri (Far Eastern brook lamprey), 1224 nucleotides long. RefSeq lists it as uncharacterized. The record is from RefSeq and is a predicted model, not a curated record. Lineage: Eukaryota; Metazoa; Chordata; Hyperoartia; Petromyzontiformes; Petromyzontidae.